Amphimedon queenslandica is the source of this 413-nucleotide long non-coding RNA. RefSeq lists it as uncharacterized. The transcript has 2 exons. Lineage: Eukaryota; Metazoa; Porifera; Demospongiae; Haplosclerida; Niphatidae. The record is from RefSeq and is a predicted model, not a curated record.
AAAAUGGUGUCUAUAGAAUAGGUAGAAUUGGAAGGAGUUUCAUGAGUUGUUACAGGGUCUGGAGUUUAAAGAGAAGUCAAGAAUGAACAGCAGAUAGGCAUCAAAAAGUUUGUUGUUAAUGAAUAAGAUAAUUUCUUGUGCCUGCUGACAGGAUUUAGAGGCAAAUCAUUGUCAAUCACUACUCAGAUUCAGUACUGCCAUAUGGCCUCUGCUAAAUCAGCUCUGGAACAGAAAAACUCUUCCUUAGUCCCCUGAUCAAUGAUUAAAGCUUGUGAGUUUGCCUAUUGAUGAGCAACAAGUUACAAAAUGGGGUACACACUUUUAUGGAAGUUCAGGAACUACUUUUACCUUAUCUACAAAUGAUACUUCUAAUAGCCAUGGCUUUUACAGUUCUUAUUAUCAUUAGUAUAGUU